This 594-nucleotide long non-coding RNA is filed under the name Homo sapiens (human). Its description in RNAcentral is "non-protein coding lnc-RBL1-3:3". The record is from RNAcentral. Lineage: Eukaryota; Metazoa; Chordata; Mammalia; Primates; Hominidae.
CCUGAGCACUGCAUUAGCGAGCCUUUAUGUGUAGCCUGUGACUUGCAAAGCAGGGCCAAGGCUAGUCUAGGUAGACUUCCCUCUCCAGUUAAGUGGCUCACUUCUUUUUUUUUUUUUUUCAGAUGGAGUCUCGCUCUGUUGCCCAGGCUGGAGUGCAAUGGUACGAUCUUGGCUCACCUUGAUUAAGCAGAAUCAUAUAGGAGGUCCUAUUUUAUGCCUUGCUUUAUUUACUCAACAUAAUGGUUUUGAGAUUUGUUCAUGUUAUGUGCCUCAGUAGUUGAUCCUUUUUUUUAUCGCCUACGUAGUGUGGCAUUAUGCAAAUAAGUCACAAUUUGUUUACCCUUUCUUGUUUUGUUGGAAUUUGGAUUGUUUUCAGGUUUUGGUUGUUAUAAAUAAGGUUGUCGUGCAUAUUAUCGUACAAGAUUUUGGUAGAAAUACAUUUUCUAUGUUGUUGUAGUGUGGAAAGUUAAUUACAUUUUUAAAACAAGAAAUACAUUCAGCAGAAAUACAUUAUUUUAUAAAAAUAAAAAUAGAUAAAAUAAAGAAAUACAUUUUCAUUUCACUUAGGUAAAUACCGAGGAGCUAGAAUUGCUG